AAAAGAGGAGCCGAUACGAUUGAAUUAGGGUUCAUAAAGAGAGAUCUGAAAAGAGGGACAUGGGUCAUGGGCACCUUGCUUAUUAAUGUCUUCGUUCAUUUACUUUCUUUCUUUCUUUCUUUUUUUGCAGGGACUGUGCGUUGCAGAGAGAGAUUCUUUCUCAUUUAAAGCGGGGGUGGUUCUUCUUCCUCCUUCUCUCGGGUUCGGUACUGUAAGUAUCGCCUUCAUUGUUCAUAUGGUCGAUCGCUUCGUCGGGUAUCUCAGGUUUCUCUGUUUUCAGGGUUUUGUUUUUCUGAUCCCCCCUCUGUUUUCAGAACUUCUUGCAAACCCCAUGAAUCAAGAACUCGUUUUCAUUCAGAAGGACAUAAUUGCUCCUUUCUUUUGGAUGUGAAUUUCGUCAUUUCGACCUCGGCCGCAAUUGAUUAAUGUUGGUGAAGAACAAGAUUUUUUCCACCACGAUAUCUUUGUGCCGAUCCUUCAACAUGAUUUAUAAACUAUUCUUUUGUACUGUGAUUUAAUACAGUGCCACAGAGAAGUCGAUAGAAAUGGCAAACCAUGUCUUUUUCCCAAGAUGUUGAUGGAAUUCUCCAUGUUAUGCCAUAAAAAAGAUGUACUUUCACCGUUUUCACUCGACAUGCUCUAGCAAAUUUAAAAGUCUCGAAUAUGUCAAUGAUUUGGUAGAUGGGCAUAAACAAUAAUUUUCUAUUCUUGCAUAACUUAGUGUGCCUUUUUUUGCUAGCUGACCCUGGUGACCUAAGUUCUAGAUGCCUAAGUUUCUACGGAGGCCGGAUAAUUAUUCACUAAUAUCUGCGAUAUAACAAUUUUGGAAAAGUGUUUUUGACUCUUCAAGUUUGUUAAUAAGCAUCACCUCGAAAGUCACGACUCUCCAAAACCGACUAUUAGAAUCAUGCCUUGAUUUCAGGGAGCGCUAUAAAAUCUAAUUGAAGUCCCGGUUUUCAUAUGAUCCGAAAAAAUAACUUAACAAUUUACAACAUUUUCUCAGUUCUUUAGCUAUAACUAUAUAAUCCACCUUCUUCUUUUUUUUUUUUACAUGGACGGUCGGUGUACUCUCUCUUGACAAGGCUUAUGAGGUCGAUGUCCCAUGUAACAAAACUAGGGUUUCAGAAUCCCUCCAAGGUGGCGUGCAUAAAUGGAGUCUAGAGGGGGGGAAAACAAGUAGAGAAAAUAAUUUAGAGAGAGAGAGAGAAAGAGAGAGAAUAACACAAACAGACACAGGGGGGGCUUAAAUGCAGUGGCCCAAAUUUCUGCUUUGGUAGUCGCGGGUUUUAAAUGCUCCCACCCCUCUUUGCGUCUUCUUAAAUCCCCCUCCCUCAGACAUUCUUACCGCUCCUCCGCCUCUCCCCUUCACUCCUCUCUCUCUCUCUCUCUCUCUCUCUCUCUCUCUCUCUGAGCUCUUUCUUCUCUCUGUUUGUUUGCUGUUCUCUCAGAGAGAGAGAGAGAUGGAGUUUCUCUUCAUGAUCUCUUUCAUAUCCUCGUCCAUGCAAUAAUAGAGAACUGUCUCUCUCUCUGUCUCGCCCCCUCUUUACUAUACUAUGAUUGUGUACAUGGAACAGUUAACUUGGAUAUUGGCCUGGUUCACUCAGACACCACCUAAAGACGUCGUUUGUUGCAGCAAAAUACUCGACGAGAGUGGUUUGCUCUCUCUGUUUCUUGGUCUUUGAUUGAGCCGUGCCAAUAUCUCAGUGCUCUUCCAAUUUCUCCACCCUUCCUUUUACGCGGCGAGGGUUCACCGAAGCCCCACAAUUUUUUAGGUCAUCUCGAAGCAUGAUCUGAAGCAGCAUUGAUGUCCGGAGAUUUUGGAAGAAAUCCGGCAAGCGGUUCCUUCGAUCGAGUGUUAUCUUUUUCGAUUUCUUUCGCAUGGAGCGAAACGGUCUAAAAUCACGAGGAAGUUUCUUACGUGACGGAUGCACCGCACGUCAAUGAAUCAGAACUUUGAGACUGUAGAAAUGACUAACAUUUUGAAUAUCCGGUGUCGUGUAAUGUCAGUUUUGUUGAAUGAGUGAUUGGUUUGCUUGCUAUGAUAUUGUGCAAUUGUUGUACCAAAUGAAUAUUUAUAACAAGAAACGUACAGCGUACCACGCAUGCUGUAAAAAUUUCUCAUUUCUGUAAUUGCUUUUUUCAAACUGAUUCUUCUUGCAGGAAUGA
Molecule: long non-coding RNA, 2166 nt
Organism: Syzygium oleosum
Lineage: Eukaryota; Viridiplantae; Streptophyta; Magnoliopsida; Myrtales; Myrtaceae
Exons: 2
Source: RefSeq, a predicted model, not a curated record